CAAAGGUGGAAGUAGGAACAAAGGUCUACGUACGCAUCACUUGACGAGUGGCUCGAGGGACAUUUGGCAAAGAUAUUGCAAGAAAAUCGAAGAUCAAGAAGAAGUGAGAAAAAAAGAGAGCCUUUUAAGCUCCUUCACAGUUCUUAUAGACUUUAAGCUUUUUGGCAUUUUGAAAGAGUUUUGGAUUUCAGUCUUGAGGAAGUUUAGUAUAGAUGUUACUCUCUCUUUUUCUUAUGAAGGUUCUGCUUCAGUCACAGUAAUAAUGCUCAGAGUAAAUAAGUGGCUGCUUCAGUCUAAUUUCUCCGUAUUAUGUUUUAUUAUCUGUUCUGUCCUCUGUUUCUUUUUUGCCUUUGUUAUAUGUGUGUGUGUUCUUGAAAGAUCUAUGCAGAAUCAAAAACUAUCUUUUCUAAUCUUUAAGCUAAUAAAAAAGAUUAGUUACUUAUUUAA
Molecule: long non-coding RNA, 447 nt
Organism: Brassica napus (rape)
Lineage: Eukaryota; Viridiplantae; Streptophyta; Magnoliopsida; Brassicales; Brassicaceae
Exons: 2
Source: RefSeq, a predicted model, not a curated record